ACAUAAUCAGAAAAGGAUUAAUUGCCACAAUAAAUUACACUUAUGUGGAAUUAGCCUUGGUGAAUGGUGCACACAUAAAAAAACAAACAUGUUGAACAUGAAUAGAAACAUAAACAGUGAAUACA
Long non-coding RNA from Etheostoma cragini (Arkansas darter), 125 nucleotides. RefSeq lists it as uncharacterized. The record is from RefSeq and is a predicted model, not a curated record. Lineage: Eukaryota; Metazoa; Chordata; Actinopteri; Perciformes; Percidae. The transcript has 3 exons.